RNAcentral lists this long non-coding RNA (327 nucleotides) under Mytilus galloprovincialis (Mediterranean mussel). Lineage: Eukaryota; Metazoa; Mollusca; Bivalvia; Mytilida; Mytilidae. The record is from RNAcentral.
UGUGUUUAAUACGGGGUCCAAAGGUCUCAUUUGGUUUUUUUCGCUUGUUUUAAGAGACCCUAUCCCAAGUGAAUAAAUUAUAAACCAACCAACCAACCAACCAACCAAUCAACCAAUCAAUAUGUAUGACAGUUUAUUUAUGACAGUAUAUUUAAAAAAAUAGGGAAGGAAAAAAUUCUCAAUUAUUCAAGAAAAAUUCAAUUUUAAUAUUGUUCUUACAUCUCUUCUGAAAAAAAAUCCACAUGUUCUCUGAAACUACAAGUCCAAUCGACCUAAAAAUUUGCAGUCAGCAGGGCAUACAUGUACAAAAAGUUCGUAAAACAACGG